AGCCCUUUUAAAUGCAGUCCCGUGAGGCUGACAAAGGGGAAAAAGCCGUUCAUUUUAUUUAGGUGCGGCAAUUUCUAACCCUCUUUGUGCCUUCAUGGUCAAAGAGGGUUUUUUUAU
The sequence is a regulatory RNA element, 117 nucleotides long. It matches the Rfam family "PyrR binding site". Rfam says of the family: This family represents the PyrR binding site and terminator structure. This RNA structure is found upstream of a variety of genes involved in pyrimidine biosynthesis and transport. The alignment also includes a portion of the antiterminator structure. The record is from Rfam.